ACAAAACAAACAGGAAUAGUUUAGCCGAACUACGGCAACUCUGAUUCUCAUGUCCAGAUGAGAUACGUAGGCACGAGAUGUGAUGUCUUGUCGAGUUUGACUGACAACUAACUUUGAUCCUUCCUUUUCUCGCACCCUCGUUGCGAUCGAGACCUUCCUUUUCUCUUUCCCUAGUUGCAAUCGAGACCCUUCUUCUUUUC
RNAcentral lists this long non-coding RNA (200 nucleotides) under Lathyrus oleraceus (garden pea). Its description in RNAcentral is "Pisum sativum (pea) long non-coding RNA (PSAT_LNC024848)". Lineage: Eukaryota; Viridiplantae; Streptophyta; Magnoliopsida; Fabales; Fabaceae. The record is from RNAcentral.